CCUACGGGAGGCAGCAGUGAGGAAUAUUGGUCAAUGGACGAGAGUCUGAACCAGCCAAGUAGCGUGAAGGAUGACUGCCCUAUGGGUUGUAAACUUCUUUUAUAAAGGAAUAAAACGAGGCACGUGUGCCUUUUUGCAUGUACUUUAUGAAUAAGGAUCGGCUAACUCCGUGCCAGCAGCCGCGGUAAUACGGAGGAUCCGAGCGUUAUCCGGAUUUAUUGGGUUUGAAGGGAGCGUAGAUGGGUUGUUAAGUCAGUUGUGAAAGUUUGCGGCUCAACCGUAAAAUUGCAAUUGAUACUGGCAGUCGUGAGUACAGUUGAGGUAGGCGGAAUUCGUGGUGUAGCGGUGAAAUGCUUAGAUAUCACGAAGAACUCCGAUUGCGAAGGCAGCUUACUAAACUGCCACUGACAUUGAUGCUCGAAAGUGUGGGUAUCAAACAGGAUUAGAUACCCUGGUAGUC
This 460-nucleotide ribosomal RNA is filed under the name uncultured bacterium. Its description in RNAcentral is "partial 16S ribosomal RNA". It matches the Rfam family "Bacterial small subunit ribosomal RNA", at positions 338 to 795 of the family's 1533-position model. The record is from RNAcentral.